GAUGAACGCUGGCGGCAUGCCUAACACAUGCAAGUCGGACGGGAAGGGGUGUUUCUUGUGGCGGUCGGGUGAGUAACGAGUAAGAACGUGCCCCUGGGAGGGGAACAAUAAUUGGAAACGGUUGCUAAUACCACGUAGGCCUAGGAGCAAAAGGAAGUUUCUGCCCCAGGGGGGGCUUGCGUCAGAUUAGCUAGCUGGUGAGGAAAUAGCAUACCAAGGCGAUGAUCAGGUACGGGUCCGAGGGGAUGACCACCCACACGGGGACUGAGGCACGAGUCAGGCUCCUACGGGAAGCAGCGGUAGGGAGUUUGCCGAAAGGGGCGUGAGCGUGGCGGGGCUACGCCGCGUGGAGCUAGGAGGCCCACGGGUAGUGAACGUCUUUGCUCGGAGAUGAAACAAUGACGGUAUCUUAGGAAUAAGCAUCGGCUAACUCUGUG
RNAcentral lists this ribosomal RNA (437 nucleotides) under uncultured bacterium. RNAcentral describes it as "partial 16S ribosomal RNA". It matches the Rfam family "Bacterial small subunit ribosomal RNA", at positions 28 to 507 of the family's 1533-position model. The record is from RNAcentral.